This 1276-nucleotide long non-coding RNA is filed under the name Struthio camelus australis. Its description in RNAcentral is "lncRNA (ENSSCUG00000016405.1)". The record is from RNAcentral. Lineage: Eukaryota; Metazoa; Chordata; Aves; Struthioniformes; Struthionidae.
AUUGGUAGCUGUCCAGAGGAUUGAUCUUUGUGCAGACUGUCAUGGAAGUAUAUCUAUCUGAACUGACUGAACUGAUUUAUGUUCAAACUGAGCUUGCUAGAAGAUCGAGUUGUUUGAUGAAAAUAUGCAGCCAGGUAUGAGGGAGAUCCAUACGACUGCACUUCAGAUGAAAAGGUUCACAGUUUAAAUCCAACUCUGUCGUUAAUCACCACAGGGUCCAUUCGAGAGUGACGUUGUAGGUGAAAGCUACAAAAAAACCUGCAUAAAGUGGUCUUGUCAUGGAAAUGUUGUCUCUCUCUCCUGUUUCCGUCUAGAGUGUUCGUUUUUAUGGUUGUUAGUGAAAAGGCAUGAAAUGAUCUGUUGUUUGUAUGUAUGCGGGUUUGUCAGUAAUUUACUUGAUUGCAUUUUUCUACUCUUAAAAACACAACGAAAACUCUCUAAUCUAUAGGAAUGCAAGCAGUGUUGAAGAACAAGUAAUCUAUACUGGUUAGAUAGGAAUUGUCUCCCAUGUAAAGGCUGUUGAGGUUUUCCUUGAAUCUGUUUCCUUGGCUCUUCCUUCUAAGUCUGUUUCCUAUUUUGUAGGGGCCAACAUUAGGACUUAACUACUAUCUUAAUUUCCCAUCAGAAGAAUCAAAGUUGGGAACUGAUCUGCAAAAGAAGCUGUCGCGGCUCUGUAUUCUUGACCUUCUUACUUAAUUGAGCAUUACUGGUCUAUGAGGUAACGUUGCCUUCUGCUCUCACUAAUACAUGGAGCUGCUGAGUGUCUGUAACUGAACAGAGGAGACUGAAAAACCGAAGAAUAGAGUCUGAUGUUCUCUGAUCGGGGUAUGCAAAUUAUGAAGCCCUGUGACUGUAACUCCACUGGGCAGUACUCAUUAAGAGGCUACAUAUUCUGUGCAACCCCUCAGAAAGCAAAGUCUGAAGAAUACCACAAAGGAGAAUAGAAAUCACAGAGGAGCGAGCAAUGCCUCUCCCAUGCAUUAAGCGAAUAAGAUACUUCCACAAGACUAAACUGGCCCUGGCGGGAGUUAUUUUGCAUCCAAAGUGAAGUAACCGCUGCUUUGGGGGCCCAGUUCGGGAGCAGGGCAAGGACAGCGAGGGAGCCGAAGCGCCUCGCGGCUGAGAGGCCCGGAGACAAAAGAGAAGCCCCGCUCCGCGGCAGGACGCCUCUCCCGGCUAGGCUGACAAACCCACGCUGCCCGUUUAUCGCGCCCCGUCCCCACGCAGGACGCGGAGCUCCCGCCCGCCGCCCUCCCGCACCUGCGGAGGCAGCGGC